This 268-nucleotide ribosomal RNA is filed under the name Mischonyx insulanus. RNAcentral describes it as "partial large subunit ribosomal RNA". The record is from RNAcentral. Lineage: Eukaryota; Metazoa; Arthropoda; Arachnida; Opiliones; Gonyleptidae.
GCAUAAUAAAUAGUUUUUUAAUUGGAAACUGGAAUGAAGGGUUAAAANNAAAAAGAAAGUUUUAUUUAAUGAUUUGAAAUUAAAUUAAAAGUAAAAAUGCUUUUAUUAAGCUUUGGGACGAGAAGACCCUAGAAGCUUAAAAAAAUUUUUUAUUGGGGUAAUAUUUGAAGACAAAAAUUUUUGGAAAGUUACUCUAGGGAUAACAGCAUUAUUUAGUUAACAAGUUCUUAUUAAUAACUAAGUUUGUGACCUCGAUGUUGAAUUAAAU